GAGUUUUCGGACAACGGAUUUGGUUUCUUAGUGGCGGACGGGUGAGUAACGCGUGAGCAACCUGCCUUGGAGUGGGGAAUAACAGCUGGAAACAGUUGCUAAUACCGCAUGAUGCAGCGAGGGGACAUCCUCUUGCUGCCAAAGAUUUAUCGCUCUGAGAUGGACUCGCGUCUGAUUAGCUGGUUGGCGGGGUAACGGCCCACCAAGGCGACGAUCAGUAGCCGGACUGAGAGGUUGACCGGCCACAUUGGGACUGAGAUACGGCCCAGACUCCUACGGGAGGCAGCAGUGGGGAAUAUUGGGCAAUGGGCGAAAGCCUGACCCAGCAACGCCGCGUGAAGGAAGAAGGCCCUCGGGUUGUAAACUUCUUUUAUCAGGGACGAAACAAAUGACGGUACCUGAUGAAUAAGCCACGGCUAACUACGUGCCAGCAGCCGCGGUAAUACGUAGGUGGCAAGCGUUAUCCGGAUUUACUGGGUGUAAAGGGCGUGUAGGCGGGCCUGCAAGUCAGGUGUGAAAUUCCAGGGCUCAACCCUGGAACUGCACUUGAAACUGUGGGUCUUGAGUGAUGGAGAGGCAGGCGGAAUUCCGUGUGUAGCGGUGAAAUGCGUAGAUAUACGGAGGAACACCAGAGGCGAAGGCGGCCUGCUGGACAUUAACUG
RNAcentral lists this ribosomal RNA (662 nucleotides) under uncultured Lachnospiraceae bacterium. RNAcentral describes it as "bacterial SSU rRNA". It matches the Rfam family "Bacterial small subunit ribosomal RNA", at positions 68 to 742 of the family's 1533-position model. The record is from RNAcentral. Lineage: Bacteria; Bacillati; Bacillota; Clostridia; Lachnospirales; Lachnospiraceae.